Molecule: ribosomal RNA, 462 nt
Filed under: uncultured bacterium
Lineage: Bacteria
Description: partial 16S ribosomal RNA
Rfam family: Bacterial small subunit ribosomal RNA
Source: RNAcentral
GACGAACGCUGGCGGCGUGCUUAACACAUGCAAGUCGAGCGGAAAGGCCCUUCGGGGUACUCGAGCGGCGAACGGGUGCGUAACACGUGAGUAACCUGCCCCAGACUUUGGGAUAACCCUCGGAAACGGGGGCUAAUACCGGAUACGACACAGCUUCGCAUGGGGUCUGUGUGGAAAGUUUUGCGGUUGUGGAUGGGCUCGCGGCCUAUCAGCUUGUUGGUGGGGUGAUGGCCUACCAAGGCGACGACGGGUAGCCGGCCUGAGAGGGCGACCGGCCACACUGGGACUGAGACACGGCCCAGACUCCUACGGGAGGCAGCAGUGGGGAAUAUUGCACAAUGGGCGGAAGCCUGAUGCAGCGACGCCGCGUGAGGGAUGACGGCCUUCGGGUUGUAAACCUCUUUCAGCAGGGACGAAGCGUAAGUGACGGUACCUGCAGAAGAAGCGCCGGCCAACUACGUG